RNAcentral lists this ribosomal RNA (491 nucleotides) under uncultured bacterium. Its description in RNAcentral is "bacterial SSU rRNA". It matches the Rfam family "Bacterial small subunit ribosomal RNA", at positions 36 to 524 of the family's 1533-position model. The record is from RNAcentral.
CUGGCGGCGGCCUAACCAUGCAAGUCGAGCGGUUGAGGGAAGCUUGCUUCCUGAUUCAGCGGCGGACGGGUGAGUAAUGCCUAGGAAUCUGCCUGGUAGUGGGGGACAACGUUUCGAAAGGAACGCUAAUACCGCAUACGUCCUACGGGAGAAAGCAGGGGACCUUCGGGCCUUGCGCUAUCAGAUGAGCCUAGGUCGGAUUAGCUAGUUGGUGAGGUAAUGGCUCACCAAGGCGACGAUCCGUAACUGGUCUGAGAGGAUGAUCAGUCACACUGGAACUGAGACACGGUCCAGACUCCUACGGGAGGCAGCAGUGGGGAAUAUUGGACAAUGGGCGAAAGCCUGAUCCAGCCAUGCCGCGUGUGUGAAGAAGGUCUUCGGAUUGUAAAGCACUUUAAGUUGGGAGGAAGGGCAGUCAGCGAAUACCUUGCUGUCUUGACGUUACCGACAGAAUAAGCACCGGCUAACUCUGUGCCAGCAGCCGCGGUAAU